AACGUAGGAGCCUAGCGUUAUCCGGAAUCACUGGGCGUAAAGCGUCUGUAGGUCGUUCAAUAAGUCAACUGUUAAAUCUUGAGGCUCAACUUCAAAAUCGCAGUCGAAACUAUUAAACUAGAGUAUAGUAGGGGUAAAGGGAAUUUCCAGUGGAGCGGUGAAAUGCGUAGAGAUUGGAAAGAACACCAAUGGCGAAAGCACUUUACUGGGCUAUUACUGACACUGAGAGACGAAAGCUAGGGUAGCAAAUGGG
This 253-nucleotide ribosomal RNA is filed under the name uncultured bacterium. RNAcentral's name for it is "partial 16S ribosomal RNA". It matches the Rfam family "Bacterial small subunit ribosomal RNA", at positions 524 to 776 of the family's 1533-position model. The record is from RNAcentral.